UCGUGCGGCGGGCGAGCGGUGGGGAUAAUACGGAUGAGUCAAUCGUUAUCGGGAAGUAGUGGGCGUUCAGGGUGCGUAGGUGGCGUUGUAAGUCAGAUGGGAAAUGCCGGGGCUCAACCUCGGAAGUGCAUCUGAUACUGGCAUUCUUGAGUAUUGGAGAGGAGUCGAGAAUUCACGGUGUAGCAGUGAAAUGCGUAGAUAUCGGGAGGAAUACCAAAGGCGAAGGCAGGACUCUGGAUAAUUACUGACACUGAGGCACGAAGGCUAGGGGAGCGAACGGGAUUAGAUACCCUGGUAGUC
This 300-nucleotide ribosomal RNA is filed under the name uncultured Moraxella sp. RNAcentral describes it as "bacterial SSU rRNA". It matches the Rfam family "Bacterial small subunit ribosomal RNA", at positions 493 to 795 of the family's 1533-position model. The record is from RNAcentral. Lineage: Bacteria; Pseudomonadati; Pseudomonadota; Gammaproteobacteria; Moraxellales; Moraxellaceae.